UGGGGGAAUAUUGCACAAUGGGGGAAACCCGUACGAUGCAGCGACGCCGCGUGAAGGAAGAAGUAUUUUCGGUUAUGUAAACUUCUAUCAGCAGGGAAGAUAAUGACGGUACCUGACUAAGAAGCUCCGGCUAAAUACGUGCCAGCAGCCGCGGUAAUACGUAUGGAGCAAGCGUUAUCCGGAUUUACUGGGUGUAAAGGGUGCGCAGGUGGCGUGGCAAGUCAGAUGUGAAAGCCCCGGGGCUCAACCCCGGUACUGCAUUGGAAACUGUCGUACUAGAGUGUCGGAGGGGUAAGUGGAAUUCCUAGUGUAGCGGUGAAAUGCGUAGAUAUUAGGAGGAACACCAGUGGCGAAGGCGGCUUACUGGACGAUAACUGACGCUGAGGCUCGAAAGCGUGGGGAGCAAACAGGGAUUAGAUACCCUGGUAGU
This 430-nucleotide ribosomal RNA is filed under the name uncultured Roseburia sp. Its description in RNAcentral is "bacterial SSU rRNA". It matches the Rfam family "Bacterial small subunit ribosomal RNA", at positions 354 to 794 of the family's 1533-position model. Lineage: Bacteria; Bacillati; Bacillota; Clostridia; Lachnospirales; Lachnospiraceae. The record is from RNAcentral.